This is a microRNA precursor of Homo sapiens (human), 96 nucleotides long. NCBI's taxonomy places the organism in Eukaryota, Metazoa, Chordata, Mammalia, Primates, Hominidae. The record is from Ensembl.
ACCAAUUCCUAGGUUGGUGCAAAAGUAAUUGCGGUCUUUGUCAUUAAAACCAAUAACAAAAACCACAAUUACUUUUUACUGACCUAAAGAUUAAUU